Molecule: ribosomal RNA, 920 nt
Filed under: uncultured bacterium
Lineage: Bacteria
Description: bacterial SSU rRNA
Rfam family: Bacterial small subunit ribosomal RNA
Source: RNAcentral
AGAGUUUGAUCCUGGCUCAGGAUUAACGUUGGUAGUAUGCCUAACACAUGCAAGUCGAGCGGAGAGUAGCAAUACUUUUAGCGGCGAACGGGUGAGUAAUACUUAUCUUACUUGCCAAUUAGUGGGGAAUAACUAUGGGAAACCAUGGCUAAUACCGUAUUUGUUGCUUCGGCAAUGAAAGGGGGUCGCAAGACUUUCGCUAAUUGAUAGGGAUAAGCCGUAUUAGUUAGUUGGUGGGGUAAUGGCCUACCAAGACGAUGAUGCGUAGCCAGCCUGAGAGGGUGAAUGGCCACAAGGGAACUGAGACACGGUCCCUACUCCUAUGGGAGGCAGCAGUGAGGAAUUUUCGGCAAUGGGGGCAACCCUGACCGAGCAAUACUACGUGAAGGAGGAAGGUCUAAGGAUUGUAAACUUCUGUUAGCGCGGAAGAAGGACUAAACGUGAGUUUAGUUUUGACGGUACGCGCAGAGAAAGCCACGACUAACUAUGUGCCAGCAGUCGCGGUAAGACAUAGGUGGCGAACGUUAUCCGGAAUUAUUGGGCGUAAAGGAUGCGUAGAUGGUGCGAUAAGUUAUCAGUGGGAAAUCGGGGCUUAACCUCGUGGAAGCUGGUAAUACUGUCAUACUUGAGUGCAGGAGAAGUUAACGGAACUCUAUGUGGAGCGGUAAAAUGUGACGAUAUAUAGAAGAACACCAAUAAGGCGAAGGCAGUUAACUAUUCUGUUACUGACAUUGAGGCAUGAAAGCGUGGGGAGCAAAACGGAUUAGAUACCCGUGUAGUCCACGCCCUAAACGAUGAGUGCUAGAUAUUGGGAACUAGAUUCUCAGUGUCGCUAGUUAACACGGUAAGCACUCGCUGGGUAGUACGAUCGCAAGGUUGAAACUCAAAGGAAUUGACGGGACUCGCACAAGCAGUGGAGC